Colossoma macropomum (tambaqui) is the source of this 399-nucleotide long non-coding RNA. RefSeq lists it as uncharacterized. The record is from RefSeq and is a predicted model, not a curated record. NCBI's taxonomy places the organism in Eukaryota, Metazoa, Chordata, Actinopteri, Characiformes, Serrasalmidae. The transcript has 3 exons.
UUUGCGAACACAGAUGCUUUGAGCUACACAGAUGGGGUUUCGGGUGUAGUUGCGUGCAAAAAUGUGUCACAACGCAUUUCAUAACACAACAUAAGCGCAAGCUGCAUUCUAAGCAUUACAGCAAAGGGUGGUAUAACGACAGCCAAGACUGUCCAAGCGAUCUUCUGCCGGUGUGCCGUGGUAGACCAGCAGCUCUGGACACAUCCUCAAAUUUCAAUCUUGGCAACUAUGACACAGAUACAGUGACACACCUUUCUGUGGUGAGCUGAAGUGAUAGGAAUGGCAGUGUUUCUGAGGGCCUGUUCUCCUCACUGCAAGUUCUCUGAAAAAACGCGUGGCAACGGCUUUGAAAACAGCUUGCAGUCUUAAGUUUCUCCAGCAGGGAGAUCACAACGCAAA